Molecule: RNA transcript, 4448 nt
Organism: Gastrolobium bilobum
Lineage: Eukaryota; Viridiplantae; Streptophyta; Magnoliopsida; Fabales; Fabaceae
Gene name: pentatricopeptide repeat-containing protein At1g09900-like
Exons: 2
Source: RefSeq, a predicted model, not a curated record
CUCAUAGUUGUUACCUUCGAUUUCUCCUAUGGGAUUUCGAAACCUCUGCAACAUCCUCAGGUUCUUCUCAAUUCCUCACUCUUGUUGUUCCACCUUUCUCUUCUCUCACUUCUUCUCCAAUACCCUACCUUCAACCACACCCUUCUUCACCCUUUUCCACUCACCAAGUUCCUUGCUUUUCUCAAUUGGGUGUUCAUCAUUUCACUCCCCCAAACACCCAUUUGCGAGUUCUUCAACUAAAUACUCUGAUUUUGAUUAUGGGUACUCGUGCUUGAAGCUUGGUUUGCAAUUGCAUACCCGUAGGUCUUUUUGCUCGUAUCCUUAUUCUUCUUACAAGGGUAGACCGUAUGCUACUUCGAAGCAAGUUUCUGAGAUCAUUGCAUUGAUUCGUGAGGGUGUGAAUGAUUUGGGGUCAAAGUUGGAUAGGAUGAAUGUGUCUUUGUCUAUGGCAUCAAUUUUUGAAAUUUUUCAUAAAUUAGCAAGUGAGAGAGUGUCAGCAUUGUUGUUCUUUGAUUGGCUUAAAGGUUCACAUCCUGAGCUUUGUUGUGAUCCAGACAUAGGUGGUUUGGUUGUUAAUAAUUGUGGGUUAUUGGGAGAUUAUGAGGCAAUGGUUCCCAUUUUGACUGAAUUUAACCAUAAAGGGAUGCAUUUGAAAAGGAAUGCAUUUGGGUUCUUGAUGGUUUUAGGUUUUGACAAGGCUUCUAGUAUGGAAUGUGUUAGGAAAAUUAUGGAUGUGCUCAAUGAGGUUGGUGGGGUAUGUCAAAGUUCUGGAGUUCAGUUGUUGAUAGAGAUGUUCAGUGUUCAGGGUUCUUUUGAGAUAGCUGAAUUUUUUAUUGGAACAGAUAGGAGGAAGGUGAAUCAUUAUAAUGUCUUGAUGAGGACAAUGUGCAAGAGAGGUGAUUAUGAAAGAGCAGUAGAUUUGGUAAAGGAGAUGAAGAGAAGUGGUUGUGAACCAAACAGAACGACUUAUAAUUUGUUGGUCAGUUGUCUAUGCAAGAGUGGUAAAUUUGAUGAAGCUUGUCAAGUGCUCGAAAUUAUGGAAAAAGACUAUGGUUUACCCGAUGCAAGUACCUUUGAUAUUCUUGUUAACUUACUAUGUAAACAACGGCAGUUUGGUUUAGCUUUGAAGUUUCUUGAUAAAAUGACUUUGAAGGGUAUUGAACCUUGUAUUUCAACUCAUGCCGUGGUAAUUAAGUCUUAUUUUGAAUCAGGAGAAUAUGAGGAAGCACAUAAGUAUGUUGUUGAUUCUGCUGUUAAGCAGAGCUAUUCCAGCAAUGCAAACUACAGCUUACUUGCUACUCUUCAUUUGAAGAAAGGAAAUGUGCUACUUGCCCAGAAUAUUCUUCAUGAGAUGAUGGACAAAGGUCUUAAACCUAAUUUUUCUGUGUUCAUGAAGAUAAGGAAGCGUCUCGAGAAGAAAAAUAAAAAAGAUUUGUCUUUGGAAUUAUUAAGAAGGUACUCAAGCUUGAUUGAAAAAUGAAAAAGUAGCUGGCUUUUGUGUCACAUGAUGCCAUGGUGUCAUUCGAUGUUUGCUGAUUAGUAACUCUUGAUUCAGAGAGGUUCGGCAAAUGAUAUUCGCUUCUCCAAUUUUUUCCUGGUAUUCAGGGAUGGGAUGAGGGGUGAUAAGAAACAAUAUGUAAGCAGCCUGACUUAAUAUUUAAAUACUUUCAUUCUUACAAACCUCUAUGAUUUGGGUGUCAUCCUGAUGCUGCAACUCAAAGCUUAUGGUGUGUACUUUUUCCCACGAACCAGUUCACUUUGAUGUCCCCAGGUACGUUUUUUUCAGUGAUCUUUCUUAUUACUAUUAAUUUUUAUUUUCCUACAUCACUAUGAUGUCCACCAGCCACCCACCCAUCAGGGUUCACUGGAUUUUUUCCCUAUAUUUCCUUGAUGAAAACCCUGACUUUAACCCAACGAGGUUAGGUAGCUUGUGAUUCACCACAUUUCUUGGGCAUCUUGUGGCUUUGCUAUUAGGAUCGCGGUCUUUUUCUUUUCCUUAUUUGUCUAAUGCUUCCUUGUGUAGUCAGGCAGAGCUUGCUGAAGCGUUCUUUAACAUGUACUGGCCAAUGUGAUCUGAAUGCCAAUUUUUUUUUUUAAAUUUAAGUAUUAGAUCUCAUUACUGCAUCCCUAAGAAUCAAGUGUACUCUAAAGAAAAUAAAAUGAUUUAUUUUCUGCAGUAUCUAUAGAGAGAAAGCACACAUAGUCUUCUCUGGGUAUGGUUUUCCUAGAGUUUUGAAUAAAAACAGUGAAACUUCUGUCAUUUAAUCUUGCUGACAGUAAGCAGAAGGUAAUGACAUCAGCAGGGGGAUAUAUUAACUACUGGAUGAUUCUUGUGGGAUUUAUGUGAUUGAUCACUUGCUUUCUGUCCUUAUUUAUGAAUUCCAAUAGAAAGAAACUUAUGUAUUUGGUAAAAUUAAGGGUGUGACAUGUAAUAAAUUUCAUGAUUAUUUGCUUUGAAGUUUGGUCGUCGGAAGAACAUAAGCGAGCAUCUUUUGUCUUCACUUGCAUAACCUAAUAAGUUUGUGAUAAAACACCACCUUUAAGAAUUAAGGGUGUACACAAGGAAGUGGCACAGGGAUCACUUACCCCUGCUGAGUCAACCCAAAAAAAAAAAGUUAGAGUGGAGUAUCCCUCAAGUUGUUGAGGAUGAAUCGGUUAGAGGCAGGGGAUAAAUGAGAGUUGGCAAGUGAGAGGAGGCAUCUUUGGAAACCUUGGACUUUGGGACAGAAUUCAGAGCCUCUCUAAUUGUUUGAGGUUAUUUUUCUGUCUGUGUUCUUGGUUCCUAACAGUUUGUUUAAAAUGCUGUUUUUUUUAUAGCUUUUGAUUUUCAAGAGGAGAGCGUAAAAUGCUUAAGGCAUAUCAUAUACAUUUGUCCGACAUGAAGAUGUAUUCUUUCCUUAGCUAGAUUUCAUCCUGUCAGGACUUUAUUUUGGGACUUGAAAUCUUGAUACCAAUGUUCCGUGUCAAAAAAUGUUAAGAUAUAUACACAACAUUCGGUGCUUAGACUCAGAAUUUCUGCAUUCUAAAAUUUUUUCUUUCAAUCCGUCCUGAUUCCUCUUGCAGCUCAACUCUAAGGUUAAGAAAGCUAGAUUAAUUUAUUUUAAGGAGUCAUUGGCACAAGUGAUAAGGAACUUGUAUCCCUUAACCAAAGAUUUUGAGUUCGAGCCUGGGAAUGGAAAAAAAUGGUCUUGAGAGAGCCGCCCCUUAUAUAGGGUCCGACAGUGCUCGAACUGGACUAAUCUGAAAGAUGAACCGGUUGAGGAGACUCAAAAAAUCGCUAUUGUUAUUUGUGAUCUACUAUAUCUAUCUAAUUAUCUCAUUUGUUCUUUUAUGGCUGUUACCAUUUUUUUUUCCAUGGUGAAUUACUUCAUAAGUUAUAAUGCCAAACUCUCACGAACGCAAAAUAAAUUAAACUAAAACAAAUCAGUCCCUGUUGUCUUGGAAUACAUUUAUUAAUCUCUAUUCAAUAAAUGAUGCCCGUCAACAUGUUUCUUAUUUAUUCACUUUAGUGGUUGAUGUUUCUAAGUCUGUUGUUUUUAAAUCUGGUCAUGAUUGGUCUCUCACCGACAUGGUUCUCUUCCUGGAAGAGGAUAGUGAUACCUUUUAUUGAAUAUUUUUUCGGAAGUACUUUGAGGGUAUACCUUGCUUGAAGGUUUACUUGGCUUAGAGUGACUUGGCUGGUUCGAAAGUGGAUAAUCAGGUUCUUUCUUCCUACGUGGCUGUUGCUGGUUGUCAGGUUCUCCUUUGAUGUCAUAGUUAUUUCUCAUCUUAUUAAGGCAUUUUUGAAAUUGUAGGAUUAUAAUUAGGGAAGGAAGAAAAGAGAUAUAAAGAUAAUAAAUAAUAUUCCCUUGCGUACAAUGCUGUGAUGUAAAAGACAAAACACUACUUUGAUAUGGUAUAGAGUUGUGUUUCUUGUCUUUUGUUUUGUUCUGUUUUAUUUUCUAUUCUGUUUUUUUGGUGGUGUUAUGUUCAUGAUUGCUUUAAGGAUGUUGCUAUUCGAAUUUUGCCAGCCUUAUUGCCUGCCUAGUUUUAUUCCUUUUUAGGUUUAUAGGGUAGGAAUGCAGUGGUUUUGCAGCUUGGAUGGUGGGGGAUAUCUGUCAUCUCAAUAUGAUUAAGGUGGCUUGGUGUAUCUCCACUGAUAAUUAGAGGGCGAACCUUAGAGCAGCGGUAAGAUUGCUUCUUGUAACUAGAAGAUCAUGAGUUCGAGUUUAAGAAACAAUCUCUUUGUAAAAAGACAAGGGUAACACAACAUACAAUCGACUUUGCCCCUAUCCUCGUUAGUCGGGAAGCCUUGUGCACCGAAUUUUGUCCUUUUUUAUUUAGUAUAUGACAUUAGAAUUAGUUCAAGACAUUUGGAUAUUUUUAAAAUAUUAUUUGACUUAGUUAUUUUGACAUUAUCUACACAAUUAAGUUAUUUUCAUCAUUUUCUAUGUAAAUUUGUUUUUGUC